This 24-nucleotide microRNA is filed under the name Magallana gigas (Pacific oyster). RNAcentral describes it as "Mgi-Mir-36_5p* (star (passenger))". Lineage: Eukaryota; Metazoa; Mollusca; Bivalvia; Ostreida; Ostreidae. The record is from RNAcentral.
GGAUGGUGUAUACUCGGUUUGAUG